UGAAGCUGGAUUCGCUAGUAAUCGCGCAUCAGCCAUGGCGCGGUGAAUACGUUCCCGGGCCUUGUACACACCGCCCGUCAAGCCAUGGGAGCCGGGAGUGCCUGAAGUCCGUGACCGCGAGGAGCGGCCUAGGGUAAGACCGGUGACUGGGGCUAAGUCGUAACAAGGUAUC
RNAcentral lists this ribosomal RNA (172 nucleotides) under uncultured bacterium. RNAcentral describes it as "partial 16S ribosomal RNA". It matches the Rfam family "Bacterial small subunit ribosomal RNA", at positions 1321 to 1500 of the family's 1533-position model. The record is from RNAcentral.